RNAcentral lists this transfer RNA (76 nucleotides) under Deltaproteobacteria bacterium. RNAcentral's name for it is "tRNA-Asn". It matches the Rfam family "tRNA". Rfam says of the family: Transfer RNA (tRNA) molecules are approximately 80 nucleotides in length. Their secondary structure includes four short double-helical elements and three loops (D, anti-codon, and T loops). RNAcentral also lists the same sequence under 1 other name. Lineage: Bacteria; Pseudomonadati; Myxococcota; Myxococcia. The record is from RNAcentral.
UCCGAAGUAGCUCAGUCGGUAGAGCAGGCGGCUGUUAACCGCCGGGUCAGGGGUUCGAGUCCCUUCUUCGGAGCCA